CACGGGGGGGGCAAGCGUUGUUCGGAAUCACUGGGCGUAAAGGGCGUGUAGGCGGUUGCGUAAGUGGAAUGUGAAAUCCCCCGGCUUACCCGGGGACCUGCAUCCCAAACUGCGCGACUUGAGUAUGGGAGAGGAUGAGGGAAUUCCUGGUGUAGCGGUGAAAUGCGUAGAUAUCAGGAGGAACACCGGUGGCGAAGGCGCUCAUCUGGCCCAAUACUGACGCUGAGGCGCGAAAGCUAGGGUAGCGAACGGG
RNAcentral lists this ribosomal RNA (253 nucleotides) under uncultured bacterium. RNAcentral describes it as "partial 16S ribosomal RNA". It matches the Rfam family "Bacterial small subunit ribosomal RNA", at positions 524 to 776 of the family's 1533-position model. The record is from RNAcentral.